AAUGGCCGCGGUAACUUGACCGUGCAAAGGUAGCAUAAUUAUUUGUCUUUUAAUUGAAGGCUUGUAUGAAUGAUUGGAUGAAAAAUAAACUUUAUUAAUUUAAAUUAUUUAACUUAAUAUUUAAGUCAAAAUGCUUAAAUAAGUAAGUGGGACGAGAAGACCCUAUAGAGUUUUAUUAUUUUAUUAAUUAUGAAAUUUAAGAAUUAAUAUUUUUAUAAUAUUUAAAAUAAUUUUAUUGGGGUGAUAUUAAAAAUUAAUUAACUUUUAAUUAAUAAAUCAUUAAUUCAUGAUUAACUGAUCCAAAAUUUUUUUUGAUCAUAAAUCAAAAUUACCUUAGGGAUAACAGCGUUAUUAAUUUAGAGAGCCCUAAUCGAUAAAUUAGUUUGCGACCUCGAUGUUGGAUUAAGAAAAGUUUUUAAAGCAGUAUUUAAAAUUUUAGGUCUGUUCGACCUUUAAAUUCUUACG
This 465-nucleotide ribosomal RNA is filed under the name Hamza ciliaris. RNAcentral describes it as "partial 16S large subunit ribosomal RNA". It matches the Rfam family "Bacterial large subunit ribosomal RNA", at positions 1926 to 2600 of the family's 2925-position model. The record is from RNAcentral. Lineage: Eukaryota; Metazoa; Arthropoda; Insecta; Hemiptera; Cicadidae.